CGCUGAAAGAAACUGGAGGAGGUGUGUUUGCGCAUGGGUACACUCGCGCACGAAAGUACUACUGUUUUAUUUUUUAAUUAGGCUUUCACUCACGGCUUCCAAUAACAUUUCUUUUUUGUUAUUGAAAUGUCAUAUUUAAAAAAUGUUAAUUAUCUUUAUUCUCAAAAUUUGUAUUUUAAUAGUUUUUAUGUGUUUAAAAUGAUAAAU
This 207-nucleotide unclassified non-coding RNA is filed under the name Melitaea cinxia (Glanville fritillary). Its description in RNAcentral is "misc RNA ENSMCXG00005015529.1". The record is from RNAcentral. Lineage: Eukaryota; Metazoa; Arthropoda; Insecta; Lepidoptera; Nymphalidae.